AGAGUUUGAUCCUGGCUCAGAUUGAACGCUGGCGGCAUGCUUUACACAUGCAAGUCGAACGGUAACAGGUCUUCGGAUGCUGACGAGUGGCGAACGGGUGAGUAAUACAUCGGAACGUGCCUAGUAGUGGGGGAUAACUACUCGAAAGAGUAGCUAAUACCGCAUGAGAUCUACGGAUGAAAGCAGGGGACCUUCGGGCCUUGUGCUACUAGAGCGGCUGAUGGCAGAUUAGGUAGUUGGUGGGGUAAGGGCUUACCAAGCCUGCGAUCUGUAGCUGGUCUGAGAGGACGACCAGCCACACUGGGACUGAGACACGGCCCAGACUCCUACGGGAGGCAGCAGUGGGGAAUUUUGGACAAUGGGCGAAAGCCUGAUCCAGCAAUGCCGCGUGCAGGAUGAAGGCCCUCGGGUUGUAAACUGCUUUUGUACGGAACGAAAAGCCUGGGGCUAAUAUCCCCGGGUCAUGACGGUACCGUAAGAAUAAGCACCGGCUAACUACGUGCCAGCAGCCGCGGUAAUACGUAGGGUGCAAGCGUUAAUCGGAAUUACUGGGCGUAAAGCGUGCGCAGGCGGU
RNAcentral lists this ribosomal RNA (574 nucleotides) under uncultured bacterium. RNAcentral describes it as "bacterial SSU rRNA". It matches the Rfam family "Bacterial small subunit ribosomal RNA", at positions 8 to 579 of the family's 1533-position model. The record is from RNAcentral.